RNAcentral lists this ribosomal RNA (468 nucleotides) under uncultured bacterium. RNAcentral's name for it is "partial 16S ribosomal RNA". It matches the Rfam family "Bacterial small subunit ribosomal RNA", at positions 28 to 507 of the family's 1533-position model. The record is from RNAcentral.
GACGAACGCUGGCGGCGUGCUUAACACAUGCAAGUCGAACGGUGAAGCUCCAGCUUGCUGGAGUGGAUCAGUGGCGAACGGGUGAGUAACACGUGAGCAACCUGCCCCUGACUCUGGAAUAAGCGCUGGAAAUGGCGUCUAAUACUGGAUACGAGAAGGGUCCGCAUGGGCACUUUCUGGAAAGUUUUUCGGUUGGGGAUGGGCUCGCGGCCUAUCAGCUUGUUGGUGAGGUAAUGGCUCACCAAGGCGACGACGGGUAGCCGGCCUGAGAGGGCGACCGGCCACACUGGGACUGAGACACGGCCCAGACUCCUACGGGAGGCAGCAGUGGGGAAUAUUGCACAAUGGGCGAAAGCCUGAUGCAGCGACGCCGCGUGAGGGAUGACGGCCUUCGGGUUGUAAACCUCUUUCAGCAGGGAAGAAGCGAAAGUGACGGUACCUGCAGAAGAAGCACCGGCUAACUACGUG